CUCGUGCUCGCCCCUCACACCGAGCUGCCCUGCUCUGUUCUCUCCCAGAACCGCGAAAUAUCCACAGUUUGAAGGGAUCCACAAGGAUCGGAGUCCCAACUCCUGGCUCCACACAGGACCACCCUAAAAUCAGACCCCAUGGCUGAGAGCGGUGUCCUAACGCUGCUCGAACUCCGUCAGUUGGAGCAGCCUGGGCAGCCUGUCCCAGUGCUCGAAAUAGCUGAAGAACCUCGGGCCGCUGAGGUUCUGCAGGCUGCCAGGCGUGCCGGUAGUACUGCUGCAUGCAGCGAGCUGUCGGAGCACAUGCUGAGCAGUUAAAAGAACGUGGAUCAUUGCGCUUACCUGUGAACUGAGCUUCCUGAAAGCAGAUUUUGCAUGUUUCAUGGGAUGCAAAAAGAUUGCUGAAUAGGAAGCAACUGGAUUUUCAACUGCACUUCAACACCUCCAUGAAGACAGGAACAUAAUUCCUCUCAUGCAGCUGCUCAAGAGAAUGACAUUUCUCUCUAAAGCAUGUUCAGAGGGAACGUGUGAAUGCAGAUGUCAGACUGCAGGAGCCAAGACUGGGAGUUGAACAGGUUAUGCCGACACCCUACAGUCAUUGCACGCUGGUGGAGCACAGGAUUCCCAUUGCACCACUGAGAUAUGCAGCAAGAACUCCUGGAGUAAGCAGGUGCCAGACUGCUUGUCUUUUUGCUGCACUUCAGUUUCUUUUCUGCUUAGAGAACCAACCAUGAACCUUUCCCAAGCAGUUCAAGACCCAGGAAGGUUACACUCUGAACUUGUUCAGAUGUUGCAGUAAAUUAUUCAGUGAAAGGGGAAUUACCUGAGAAGUUGGUAAACUGUGCUCAUCCAAAUGCACAAAUGUGAUUUCAGAUGUGAAAAUGACAAUGUUGUGCAAUUCCCCAGAGCAGCAGCACAUUUGGGCUCCAGUGGGUGAAGAGUUGCAGUGUUUAUAGAGUUGCGUGGUGAAGCCCAGCAGUGAGGCUGCAGCAGCUGGGACGUGUGAG
This is a long non-coding RNA of Cygnus atratus (black swan), 1007 nucleotides long. RefSeq lists it as uncharacterized. Lineage: Eukaryota; Metazoa; Chordata; Aves; Anseriformes; Anatidae. The transcript is spliced from 4 exons. The record is from RefSeq and is a predicted model, not a curated record.